GGGGCAUAGUUCAACGGUAGAAUAGAGGUCUCCAAAACCUUUGGUGUGGGUUCGAUUCCCAUCACCCGCUCCA
Molecule: transfer RNA, 73 nt
Filed under: Staphylococcus aureus H20321
Lineage: Bacteria; Bacillati; Bacillota; Bacilli; Caryophanales; Staphylococcaceae
Description: tRNA-Trp
Rfam family: tRNA (bases 7-62)
About the family: Transfer RNA (tRNA) molecules are approximately 80 nucleotides in length. Their secondary structure includes four short double-helical elements and three loops (D, anti-codon, and T loops).
Source: RNAcentral